Molecule: long non-coding RNA, 2255 nt
Organism: Aegilops tauschii subsp. strangulata
Lineage: Eukaryota; Viridiplantae; Streptophyta; Magnoliopsida; Poales; Poaceae
Source: RefSeq, a predicted model, not a curated record
AAAAUCUAAUGUGUUACAUACUAAAUAUUCUGGGUAUAUACGUACUAAAAAAUCAAUGAGUGUGUAAUAAAUAAAUGAAUCCGUACAUAUCUAAUCUGAUUGAUACACACUAAAUAUUCUGGGUAUAUACAUAGAUAAAAAUCUAAUCUAUACGUACUAAAUAUUCAGGGUAUAUACAUAGAUAAAAAUCUAAUGUGUACGUACUAAAUAUUCUGGGUAUAUGUGUAUUAAAAUUUAACGGGUACAUUCUAAACAGAUGAAAUCAUAUAUACAUACUAAAUAUUCUGGGUAUAUAUGUAUAAAAAUUUAACGGGUACAUACUAAACAGAUGAAUUCAUAUAUACCUAAUUUGUAAUAUAUCUAAUGUGUAGUAUUUUUUCCUUCUAAAGAUAUAUGUUACCAUGCAUGGCGUGUUUAAUGACAUCCAUUUAUGAUAUGCAUUAUAAUUGUUUCCAUAUUACUUGUUUAAGAAUUGGCAAUUAGUAAUGGAUUGACUAGUUACCUUCUAUACCUAUCACAAUAAUACGCAUCUAAAUGCAAUCAAACGGUGGAAAUGCAAGAAGCCUGCGCACCUAGGUGUCCCAUACUGCCGUCGGCGCGGUGGACUUGUUCCUGAACUCCUGAAAUCUGCAGCGACAAGAAAAAAAACCCGACCCCGGCUUCUCUAUCGCGCGCAGUCCUGAGACCCACCUUACCCGCUGGCACAGCCACCCGCGUCACCGAUCCCCUCGCGCCACCCCACCUCCACCUAACUCCGGCCACCUACCGCUGCUGCGCUGCCACGCGAGAUCCCACCGCCGCGCGAGAUCCCGCCGCCCAUGCCGCUGCGCGAGAUCCCUCCGCCGUCGGGCGACAUCUUCCCGCCGUCGCGCGAGACCCGUCCGCCGGCGCCCCACCACCGCGCUCCGCAGGACCGGUUGUCCCCUCCCCUGCCGCUCAGUUCAACUUCGCCGGCCAACGAGGUCCACCACGUCGUCUGGGUUCCAAUCCAACCCGCCGUCCGGCACGGCCAAGUUCCUCCACCCAUCGUGGCUACUACCAGGACCACCGCCUGCCCAGUCGUUGUGGCAUGUGGCUGCCUAGCACAUCGACGCCCCCAGACGUAUUUGCAGGUGCAAAAAAGUUAGAUGUAGUGAUAUGUUUGUUCAGUUUCACAGGUACUUCGGUAUUGGGAAAAAAUGAGUUUUCUUCUCCAAAAUGCAUCAACACCGUGAAGUGCUAAUUCUUCUUGUGUGCUUCUAUAGAGUCUUGUGUUUCAGUCACCACCAUGACGAACCAGCUCGGCCUAUUUUGCAGAAGCAAGUCACACGAUAGUUUUUAGGAGGAAUGUAUUUCAUAGGUAAUAGGGAAUCAAGGUUCAGAGAGAUUUUUUUUAGCACAUUCAGAGAGCUUUUUCAGUGCACUGCAGCCAAACCCGUUAUGAAGGCCAAACUGCUGAUGUUUGGUUUUGAUUUUAUUUUACAAACAAAGUUGCUAGCAGCAGUAGAUCUUGGGAUUUGGGCACACAAGGAAGAAGACGAAAAGAAAAAUGGUGAGUUGGGAUUGCAUGUUCAUUGCUCAGAAGGAUAAGAUCCUUUUUGGUUUUAUCUAGAGAACUCCUAGUGGGGUAAAAAAAGCAGCUUAAUGGUUUGCUCUGUUUAAUGGUCUGCUUCACAGACUAACUUCUUCAUUGUUUCUUUUUGUAUGAGCAUCAGACUUGAUUUAAAUGUGAGGCGGUUCGCUGACAGUAAUUUUGCCAGUUCAAUAAUAUAUGUACAAGUUGACCUCCUAGCGAUAUAUAUGCAUAGGAAUUUUGUUCUCCGUUUUGUUUAUUGGUGCAUGCGAGAUGUUUUUCAUGUUAUGAACAUAUUGGUUCGCGAGAAGUUCAUGUACGACUACCGAAGGAGUUCAAAAAGCACUCAUCGCGAAGAGAAGAGGUGAGCAGCGCACUGGCCGUUCAACUUUGCCACCUCAGGCCGUGCAACUCCGCCCAUGUGAGCAAAGGGGGGCUAGUUUCUUCUUAACUGUUUAUUCUGCACUUGUACGGUGCAUUUUGUCUCAGUUUUUAGGUGAUUUUUUGCUUUACUUACAUUGUGUUCAACAGGGUACAAAAGUUUGCCUACAAACUGUUCUUGUAUGUCUGUAAGAGCUGAUGUUGUGCUACUGCCAUGAGAAAAUGGAGCUUUUUUAGAGUUGUUUUUCUGUAAGUACAUGUGAAGACUUCGGCAUGUAAGAAUGGAGCUUUUUUCAUAGUGAAAAGUGGUAUUUUUGGUGUA